Non-coding RNA from Schistosoma mansoni, 45 nucleotides. The record is from Rfam. Lineage: Eukaryota; Metazoa; Platyhelminthes; Trematoda; Strigeidida; Schistosomatidae.
AUCCAACCGACGAGUCCCAAAUAGGACGAAACGCGUGUCCUCGAU